AUCAACUUUCGAUGGUAGGAUAGAGGCCUACCAUGGUAGUAACGGGUGACGGGGAAUUAGGGUUCGAUUCCGGAGAGGGAGCCUGAGAAACGGCUACCACAUCCAAGGAAGGCAGCAGGCGCGCAAAUUUUCCAAUCCCGACACGGGGAGGUAGUGACAAUAAAUAACAAUACAGGGCCUUUUCGGGUCUUGUAAUUGGAAUGAGUACAAUUUAAAUCUCUUAACGAGGAACAAUUGGAGGGCAAGUCUGGUGCCAGCAGCCGCGGUAAUUCCAGCUCCAAUAGCGUAUAUUAAAGUUGUUGCAGUUAAAAAGCUCGUAGUUGAAUUUUAGGCUUGGCCGGGCGGUCCGUCUUUUGGCGAGUACUGUCCUGUUGUCGGGUCUUCCUUCUGGUGAACCAGUAUGUCCUUUAUUGGGUGUGCUGGGGAGCCAGGACCAUUACCUUGAAAAAAUUAGAGUGUUUAAAGCGGGCUAUUGCUUGAAUAGAUUAGCAUGGAAUAAUAGAAUAGGACGUUGUGGUUCUAUUUUGUUGGUUUCUAGGACCACCGUAAUGAUUAAUAGGGAUAGUUGGGGGCAUUAGUAUUCAAUUGUCAGAGGUGAAAUUCUUGGAUUUAUUGAAGACUAACUAUUGCGAAAGCAUUUGCCAAGGAUGUUUUCAUUAAUCAAGAACGAAAGUUAGGGGAUCGAAGACGAUCAGAUACCGUCGUAGUCUUAACCAUAAACUAUGCCGACUAGGAAUCGGGCGACGUUAUUUUCACGACUCGCUCGGCGCCUUAUGGGAAACCAAAGUGUUUGGGUUC
This 798-nucleotide ribosomal RNA is filed under the name uncultured Glomeromycotina. RNAcentral describes it as "SSU rRNA". It matches the Rfam family "Eukaryotic small subunit ribosomal RNA", at positions 314 to 1114 of the family's 1831-position model. Lineage: Eukaryota; Fungi; Glomeromycota. The record is from RNAcentral.